This 402-nucleotide ribosomal RNA is filed under the name uncultured bacterium. RNAcentral describes it as "bacterial SSU rRNA". It matches the Rfam family "Bacterial small subunit ribosomal RNA", at positions 993 to 1396 of the family's 1533-position model. The record is from RNAcentral.
GAUUAAGCCCGGUGAAAGCUGGGGGUGCUCGCAAGAGAACCGGAACACAGGUGCUGCAUGGCUGUCGUCAGCUCGUGUCGUGAGAUGUUGGGUUAAGUCCCGCAACGAGCGCAACCCUUGUCCUUAGUUGCUACGCAAGGGCACUCUAAGGAGACUGCCGGUGACAAACCGGAGGAAGGUGGGGAUGACGUCAAGUCCUCAUGGCCCUUAUGGGUAGGGCUUCACACGUCAUACAAUGGUCGGUACAGAGGGUAGCCAACCCGCGAGGGGGAGCCAAUCCCAGAAAGCCGAUCGUAGUCCGGAUCGCAGUCUGCAACUCGACUGCGUGAAGUCGGAAUCGCUAGUAAUCGCAGAUCAGCAUGUCGCGGUGAAUACGUUCCCGGGCCUUGUACACACCGAAUC